UGGUGAAAAUAAAAGGCAAGACUGAGCUAGCCCACUGGAAGCCUUGCUACAAAGUGCUCUCUCUGGUUGGAAGCAGGCCAGCUAUGUGAUGAUCAGAGUGCCGGCUCCAUUCUGGCUCUUCCCAGAAUUUCCAGACAUAUGCCUCUAAAAGGGAAAUACAUGAACCUGGGAGUUCCCUGCUGGGGGACAAACAUGAGAUAUUACAAAGGUAUGACAGUUCAUCACCUAGAGAGUGGGUACUCUACUUAUAUCUACAAUCCUGCCUUCCAAAUGAGAUACAAAGGAGAGAGAUCAUAGUUUCAUGAAGAUAAGUAUUAGACUUGUAACCAGGACACCCUGUUUCGUACCAUCUCUUUAUGUAAUCUUGGACAUAUUUAUUUUCUUCACUGUGCCUCAAGUAUCUCAUCUGUCAAAUGGUGAAGCUAGAACUUUCUGCCUAACUCAAGGCUUCCUUGAAGAUAAAAUGUACUGAAGAAAAAAAAAAGGAAUUGACUUUGGAACUUGCCAAGUGAAAGGAAAUAUCUAAAGAGGUUAAUUAAGUCUCUUGGGCUCAUUCACUUCAGGAAAGUCAACAUUGACCUAGAGGUGAUCAUGUAGGCAGAUUAAAAAGUAGUGAGAGAGCACAAGUUUGCUGUGUCAAAACCAGGAGCAAAUGAAGCUAAAAUAAGCAAACUCUAAACUGGUGAGAUGGAAUGAAACCUUGAAAGCCAGGUCUGACUGACAGGAAGUAAUCUCUGGGCAGCCACAGGAAAAAAAAACAUUGAGGAAGGAUUCUGCGUUUGCUCCAUAGUCUUUCUCUAGAGAAAUGAAGCCUGGAAGGUUCACUACGAAGGUUCAUCUGCUGGCUGUUUGAGUUCCCUGCACCUGGCGCAGAAUGUUUCUGAAGCAGCUUGCGAGCCAUGGAGUAGCUGGAGAACAGGGGUAGGCUGUAUCUCUCUCAGAGAUUCUGCUUCAUUUGGAGCAGAGGUUCAUUUGAGGGCCAAGAACCCAGUGUAAGAACCAAUGAUCUGGCAGAACCUCCAGACCUUUCUGCAAUCCUCUCCUCAAGCAGAUGUUAGUGGAUCCCUGAAGCAGGGUCCUAAGGAGGUUGCCUAAACAAAGAAUGGUUAUGCUAAGAUAUGGAUUAGGUGGCUAGAACAAUCUUCUCAAAUACAGUAGCUUAAACGAGAGAGAAGUUUCUUUCUGCUUUAGAAGUCUCUGUAGGCAUUCCAGGGCUGUGAGAGACAAUCCAAUUUCCUCUUAUAUCAAUGCUCCAUCCUUGUCAUAGGCACAUGCUUGAGGUUGGUUCAAUAUCCUUCUGCUGGAAGUAUAUCUUUCACAGCAGAAAAGUGUGAAGGGAAGGAGAAAGUACACUUUCUCCCUUUUAAGGUCAUAAUGUAGAAGUUACACACAUUAUGUUCAAUUAGGCAGAUCCUAAGAGCCCAUGUCCACACCUAUCUUCUGGAAAGGCUGAGGAGUGUGGUCUUUAGCUGGUGAUCCAUGUGUCUACCUAAACUUGGGAAUUACACAAGCAGAAGGGGUGACUGGAUAAUGGAGGGGGGUAAUUACCAAUCUCUGCCAUAGCGGUAAAAGCACUUAGGCUUGGAACUUAAUAAAAAUCAUCUCAGUGUUUCUCCUUAUGGAUAUCCUUUAAAAACAAUCUUCAAUCUGAAGAGAUGAAGUAAAAUACUAGAAUCUAAUUCUGGCAUCUGCUGUGUUUUCUUUUUAGUACAGCAUAUAAUUUAUAUACUGUCCAAGGUACAGAUCUUAACUGUUGCAGUUCAAUGAGGUUUAAGUUUCUACACUGACCUAACCCACACUCUACUAAGAGAGUGAGCCCUUCCGUCAUCUAAGAACACUUCUUUAUGCCCCUUCUAAGUCAAUCCCCCACACGCUGCAGCCACUGUUCUGAAUACCAUCAUUAUAGAAAUGAUUCACUGGAAAAAAUGAGUUUUAAGAGUC
Molecule: long non-coding RNA, 1941 nt
Organism: Lutra lutra (Eurasian river otter)
Lineage: Eukaryota; Metazoa; Chordata; Mammalia; Carnivora; Mustelidae
Exons: 3
Source: RefSeq, a predicted model, not a curated record